RNAcentral lists this non-coding RNA (29 nucleotides) under Mus musculus (house mouse). The record is from RNAcentral. Lineage: Eukaryota; Metazoa; Chordata; Mammalia; Rodentia; Muridae.
UAAUUUCCUUUGGAGACUUUGGUAGCUUU